CGGUGGAUGAUGUGGAUUAAUUCGAUGCAACGCGAAAAACCUUACCUACCCUUGACAUGUCUGGAAUGCCGAAGAGAUUUGGCAGUGCUCGCAAGAGAACCGGAACACAGGUGCUGCAUGGCUGUCGUCAGCUCGUGUCGUGAGAUGUUGGGUUAAGUCCCGCAACGAGCGCAACCCUUGUCAUUAGUUGCUACGAAAGGGCACUCUAAUGAGACUGCCGGUGACAAACCGGAGGAAGGUGGGGAUGACGUCAAGUCCUCAUGGCCCUUAUGGGUAGGGCUUCACACGUCAUACAAUGGUCGGGACAGAGGGUCGCCAACCCGCGAGGGGGAGCCAAUCCCAGAAACCCGAUCGUAGUCCGGAUCGCAGUCUGCAACUCGACUGCGUGAAGUCGGAAUCGCUAGUAAUCGCGGAUCAGCAUGUCGCGGUGAAUACGUUCCCGGGUCUU
Molecule: ribosomal RNA, 448 nt
Filed under: uncultured Achromobacter sp.
Lineage: Bacteria; Pseudomonadati; Pseudomonadota; Betaproteobacteria; Burkholderiales; Alcaligenaceae
Description: bacterial SSU rRNA
Rfam family: Bacterial small subunit ribosomal RNA
Source: RNAcentral